UACGUAGGGCGCGAGCGUUGUCCGGAGUUACUGGGCGUAAAGGGCUUGUAGGCGGCUGGUCGCGUCUGCCGUGAAAUCCCCUGGCUCAACUGGGGGCGUGCGGUGGGUACGGGCCGGCUUGAGUGCGGUAGGGGAGGCUGGAACUCCUGGUGUAGCGGUGGAAUGCGCAGAUAUCAGGAAGAACACCGGUGGCGAAGGCGGGUCUCUGGGCCGUUACUGACGCUGAGGAGCGAGAGCGUGGGGAGCAAAC
Molecule: ribosomal RNA, 250 nt
Filed under: uncultured Actinomyces sp.
Lineage: Bacteria; Bacillati; Actinomycetota; Actinomycetes; Actinomycetales; Actinomycetaceae
Description: partial 16S ribosomal RNA
Rfam family: Bacterial small subunit ribosomal RNA
Source: RNAcentral